CCUACGGGAGGCUGCAGUGGGGAAUAUUGCACAAUGGGGGAAACCCUGAUGCAGCGACGCCGCGUGAGUGAAGAAGUAAUUCGUUAUGUAAAGCUCUAUCAGCAGGGAAGAAAAUGACGGUACCUGAGUAAGAAGCCCCGGCUAACUACGUGCCAGCAGCCGCGGUAAUACGUAGGGGGCAAGCGUUACCCGGAUUUACUGGGUGGAAAGGGAGAGGAGACGGCAGUGCAAGUCUGGAGUGAAAGGCGGGGGCUCAACCCCCGGACUGCUCUGGAAACUGUACGGCUGGAGUGCAGGAGAGGUAAGUGGAAUUCCUAGUGUAGCGGUGAAAUGCGUAGAUAUUAGGAGGAACACCAGUGGCGAAGGCGGCUUACUGGACUGUAACUGACGUUGAGGCUCGAAAGCGUGGGGAGCAAACAGGAUUAGAUACCCCAGUAGUC
This 440-nucleotide ribosomal RNA is filed under the name uncultured bacterium. RNAcentral describes it as "partial 16S ribosomal RNA". It matches the Rfam family "Bacterial small subunit ribosomal RNA", at positions 338 to 795 of the family's 1533-position model. The record is from RNAcentral.